GACUCAGGCUGGAGAGGAGGCAUCUUACAGCUUUGUGGACAGCCUGAGCUGGUGGAGCCUGCUCUAGCUUGUGGAGACGUUCAGUGUCUUCAGGACUUUGCCUUUUCCUAAUGUGGACUUUUCUGGAUAUGUCAUCAGGACUGUGAAUUUAUGCAGAUGUUUCACCGUGCCCCUGGAGGUUCAGAAAUAACAGUGCCUGACACUGUGAGAGAGGUGCUGAAAGGCACCCUUUGCUCUGCACCCUUUCUGCCACCUGAGAAGCUCUGGGUCACAGAAGUCUGCCCUUACUGAUAGCUGUCCACCACGUUCAUUCACUUCUGUUUUGUACGUCUGUAACACCACUGCUCGUGUCUUGUCAGAAUCCUAUAUUCUGGCUUUACUGGGACCCAAGAUCUCGGCAAGCGCCAUGCAAUAUAGAAGCAGUGCAGCACAGAGAUUUGCCUCCUGAUGGAUUGGCUCCACGCUUGAGAAAAUGGACUCUGUAAGCAAGCACCCAUGGGCUAAACUAAUUUGGGUUCUCCCUGGUGCUACACAAUUCCAGGUUUUGCACCAUGGCAUGCCUUCUUUCUGCACAGGGAGGCUGAGGUAUAACAGGAAACAACUACUCAAAAACCUGAAUCUUUUUCCCCCCUGAAGUCUUUUGUUCCUGAAGCCAAAUCACAGUAAAUCAAGGGGUUCUGCCUUAUAUGCAAUUAAAGUGGUCUUAAAAAAACAACAACAACAAAAAAAAAACUACCGAAUCCCCAAGUCCCAGAAAGGAAGAGGAGGAGGAAAAGAUGGGACCUCAGAGAGGCUUCAUAAAUCACGUUGCAGUGGACCUGGUGCAGAUGUUCCUGCAUUCAGCCCACCAGGCAAAGCGCAGCACCAUAAUGGGACUGAACGGCCAUAUGUGAAAGCAGACAGAAGACAGCUGACUUGGAGGAGACGUGCUCUCUCUGGCACAUAUAACCCAUGCUUGGUCCCUGCCCUGGCCUCCCUCGGUCCCUCCUGCCAAAAAAUAAACAAGCCAGAUCAAACCUGUCAUGGUCUGGAAGUCUUCAGCUAUCCCUUUUAU
Long non-coding RNA from Cygnus olor (mute swan), 1054 nucleotides. RefSeq lists it as uncharacterized. NCBI's taxonomy places the organism in Eukaryota, Metazoa, Chordata, Aves, Anseriformes, Anatidae. The record is from RefSeq and is a predicted model, not a curated record. The transcript has 2 exons.